Long non-coding RNA from Equus caballus (horse), 1679 nucleotides. NCBI's taxonomy places the organism in Eukaryota, Metazoa, Chordata, Mammalia, Perissodactyla, Equidae. The record is from Ensembl.
CGCGAGCUGGUUCUUAAAACUUUGCUCAGAAGUGAAACACUUCGGAGAGUUCUCGUCAAGAUGGCGCUGUGAGCAGACGUUGAACUCGCCUCCUCCCACGAACACAACCAGGUUACAACAAUUUUGGGAAGAAUCACCCUGGAUUGAAAACUGAAAACUGGAUAAAAAGAACCCCCACGACAAGGGACAGUCCUGACGAAAGCAGAAGAGGCAGUACCUCCGGCCGGAGAGGAAAAAAGCCACCUUUGGGAGCAGUGGAGCUUCUCAACUGGCCAGGCAGGAGCCAACCUAAGAUUCUGCAAGUUUUGAGAAAUGUAUGAUGACAUGUAUCCACCAUAACUUAAACAACAGAAAUUUAUUUUCUCAUUGUUCUGGAGGCUGGAAGUCUGAGGUCAGGGUGCCAGCACAGUCAGCUUCUGUCACAAUUACAUCUUCUAUACUGAUCCCUGGAAUAUUCACAAUUGGAACCCCGAGCCACUAUGUUAGAAGUCUUACUACUCUGAGGCUGCCAUACAGUGAGGAAGCAAAGCCACAUAAAAAUGCUACAUGCAGGUCUUCCGAAGAGCAGUCCUCAAGUUCCUGUUAUCCCAGCCUAGCGUCAGACAUGGAAGUGAAUGAGCUUCAGAUGGUUCCAACUCCAGCCAUCAAGUGUCUUAGAGGCUUUCUGUUUGAAAGUUCAGCUGCCAUGGAGCAAAAAAAGCAUAUACUCCCACUCGGCCCUGAGUUCCUGACCCACAGGAUCUAAUGUCUAGUACAGUGCAUGGCACAUGAUAGAAGGAGAGCUCUUAAUGCCAGGUGGGAAAACAAAGCUAUGUAUAAACUUCUCCCACUGGCCCAGCAGUGACAGGCUCAGCUCACGAGGCCACGGAAGAAACACAUUCUGUGAGGUUGCCAUCAGCAGAAAAGCUUCCAAACUGCCUUUCCUCAAUCGAUGUUUGAAUGCACUCAAGGCGGCUUUACCCACAGCACUGCUCAAACAAUUCCAUGAUAACAUUCAUUUAUCAUCUUGGCAAGGAUGAGCCCAAUGGUGAAAUGGAUAUCUGCUUUCAUAAGGAACUUGAAAUGGAGAUAACUAUGCCCAGGACAAAACGCUGGAAACCUAAUUUAAUCCAAGACACACUCAAUAGUGAAUAUAUUUGAGGACAUUGUUUAGAUUGAAUUAUAAUAGUUGGUAGCUUAGUACAUGGAGAAUAAUACCACGAGGACAACAUCCUGAGUUUGAUCAAUCUCAUCUCCCGAAUAUCUGUGAAAUGAUGCCUCCCCCGAUGUCUUCUUGUGUCCCAGACUUUAAUGCCUGUAUCUGUCGUCAAGGAAGAGUCAGGUGUCACAUGGAUAACUUCUCAACUUUGAAGGUUUUGGGGACUGCAGUGCUCAGCAUUAAAAUAAGGUCCAUCUGCUCCAAAAUUGUAAAUCUCUAUUUAGAGAUCAUCUUUCUGACAUGGAGGCGGAGAGCAAUGGAUAAUUAUCGUUCCUAACUGAAGUCCCAAAGACAACCUCCUUCUUGGUCAAGGCUCGCACUUCCUUAGUAAACACAGCAGUGCCACGCAGUCCUGGGCACUGGGCAUGGUAGAGGUGUCCCACAGCCACCCACUGAUUGAUUCGCUCGUCUUCCUGAUGUGGCAGGAUCCCCGUGCUAACCUCUGUUUCCCAACACUGGCAGUCAGCCAGAAGAAGUGAAG